This 550-nucleotide long non-coding RNA is filed under the name Homo sapiens (human). RNAcentral's name for it is "non-protein coding lnc-KIDINS220-13:1". The record is from RNAcentral. Lineage: Eukaryota; Metazoa; Chordata; Mammalia; Primates; Hominidae.
GUCAACUUUGUAGUGUGCCAACUCUUUGCCUUGCUAGCAGCCAUUUGGUUUCGAACUUAUCUACAUUCAAGCAAAACUAGCUCUUUUAUAAGACAUGUAGUUGCUACCCUUUUGGGCCUUUAUCUUGCACUUUUUUGCUUUGGAUGGUAUGCCUUACACUUUCUUGUACAAAGUGGAAUUUCCUACUGUAUCAUGAUCAUCAUAGGAGUGGAGAACAUGCACAAUUACUGCUUUGUGUUUGCUCUGGGAUACCUCACAGUGUGCCAAGUUACUCGAGUCUAUAUCUUUGACUAUGGACAAUAUUCUGCUGAUUUUUCAGGGUCCUUGGGCUAGGUCAGUCUGAGUUUCCUAGAGAAGGCGCUCAAGAGUGCGUUUUACUUCUAUGCAUUUCACCUAUUUUCAGUGUUCUCCAUUCAACACCAGUAUUCAGUUGAGUAGUGGAAAUAAUUUCUGGCAUUUGUUCCUUCAAAGGGGAUGUAUUUUCUUCCUGGUACUAGAUGAAUCUUUUUGUCCUGUAACAAAACUGAUUAUAUGUCUGUUGUGAAAUAAA